This is a non-coding RNA of Podarcis lilfordi (Lilford's wall lizard), 76 nucleotides long. NCBI's taxonomy places the organism in Eukaryota, Metazoa, Chordata, Lepidosauria, Squamata, Lacertidae. The record is from the annotation of a GenBank genome assembly.
GUCACUGGAUAGCUCAGCUGGUUAGAGCGUGGCACCAGUAAUGUCAAGGUUGCAGGUUUGAUCCCCAUAUGGGACA